CGGAUUCUGGCUCAGGAUGAACGCUAGCUACAGGCUUAACACAUGCAAGUCGAGGGGCAGCAUUGGGAUAGCUUGCUAUUCAGAUGGCGACCGGCGCACGGGUGAGUAACGCGUAUCCAACCUUCCUGCCAGUAGGGAACAGCCCGGUGAAAGUCGGAUUAAUGCCCUAUGUUCUUCAAUGCGGACAUCUAAGUUGAAGGAAAGAUUCAUCGCUGGCAGAUGGGGAUGCGUCCGAUUAGCUUGCCGGCGGGGUAACGGCCCACCGGGGCGACGAUCGGUAGGGGUUCUGAGAGGAAGGUCCCCCACACUGGUACUGAGACACGGACCAGACUCCUACGGGAGGCAGCAGUGAGGAAUAUUGGUCAAUGGGCGUAAGCCUGAACCAGCCAAGUAGCGUGCAGGAAUGACGGCCCUACGGGUUGUAAACUGCUUUUAUGCGGGGAUAAAGUGCGGCACGUGUGCCGCUUUGCAGGUACCGCAUGAAUAAGGACCGGCUAAUUCCGUGCCAGCAGCAGC
This 516-nucleotide ribosomal RNA is filed under the name uncultured bacterium. RNAcentral describes it as "bacterial SSU rRNA". It matches the Rfam family "Bacterial small subunit ribosomal RNA", at positions 13 to 518 of the family's 1533-position model. The record is from RNAcentral.